Molecule: ribosomal RNA, 433 nt
Filed under: uncultured bacterium
Lineage: Bacteria
Description: partial 16S ribosomal RNA
Rfam family: Bacterial small subunit ribosomal RNA
Source: RNAcentral
AACGAACGCUGGCGGCAUGCCUAACACAUGCAAGUCGAACGAGACCUUCGGGUCUAGUGGCGCACGGGUGCGUAACGCGUGGGAACCUGCCCUUAGGUUCGGAAUAACUCCCCGAAAGGGGUGCUAAUACCGGAUAAUGUCUUCGGACCAAAGAUUUAUCGCCUUUGGAUGGGCCCGCGUUGGAUUAGCUAGUUGGUAGGGUAAAAGCCUACCAAGGCGACGAUCCAUAGCUGGUCUGAGAGGAUGAUCAGCCACACUGGGACUGGGACACGGCCCAGACUCCUACGGGAGGCAGCAGUGGGGAAUAUUGGACAAUGGGCGAAAGCCUGAUCCAGCAAUGCCGCGUGAGUGAUGAAGGCCUUAGGGUUGUAAAGCUCUUUUACCCGGGAUGAUAAUGACAGUACCGGGAGAAUAAGCUCCGGCUAACUUCGUG